AGUGAACGCUGGCGGUAGGCCUAACACAUGCAAGUCGAACGGCAGCACAGGAGAGCUUGCUCUCUGGGUGGCGAGUGGCGGACGGGUGAGGAAUACAUCGGAAUCUACUCUGUCGUGGGGGAUAACGUAGGGAAACUUACGCUAAUACCGCAUACGACCUACGGGUGAAAGCAGGGGAUCUUCGGACCUUGCGCGAGUGAAUGAGCCGAUGUCGGAUCAGCUAGUUGGGGGGGUAAAGGCCCACCAAGGCGACGAUCCGAAGCUGGCCUGAGAGGAUGAUCAGCCACACUGGAACUGAGACACGGUCCAGACUCCUACGGGAGGCAGCAGUGGGGAAUAUUGGACAAUGGGCGCAAGCCUGAUCCAGCCAUACCGCGUGGGUGAAGAAGGCCUUCGGGUUGUAAAGCCCUUUUGUUGGGAAAGAAAUCCAGCUGGCUAAUACCCGGUUGGGAUGACGGUACCCAAAGAAUAAGCACCGGCUAACUUCGUGCCAGCCGCCGCAGUAA
This 506-nucleotide ribosomal RNA is filed under the name uncultured bacterium. RNAcentral's name for it is "partial 16S ribosomal RNA". It matches the Rfam family "Bacterial small subunit ribosomal RNA", at positions 29 to 523 of the family's 1533-position model. The record is from RNAcentral.